RNAcentral lists this ribosomal RNA (589 nucleotides) under uncultured bacterium. RNAcentral's name for it is "bacterial SSU rRNA". It matches the Rfam family "Bacterial small subunit ribosomal RNA", at positions 338 to 916 of the family's 1533-position model. The record is from RNAcentral.
CCUACGGGAGGCAGCAGUCUAGAAAUUUGCACAAUCGCCGAAAGGCGGAUGCAGCGACACCACGUGGAGGAUGACACCCCUCGGGGUGUAAACUCCUGUCAGAAGGGAAGAAGGCGCGGGCGUUAAUACCGCUCGUUGCUUGACGGUACCUUCAGAGGAAGCUCCGGCUAACUACGUGCCAGCAGCCGCGGUAAUACGUAGGGAGCGAGCGUUGUUCGGAUUUACUGGGCGUAAAGGGCACGUAGGCGGGUAUGCAAGUCGAUUGUGAAAUCCUCUGGCUCAACCAGAGAACUGCAGCCGAAACUGCACACCUUGAGUCCAGCAGAGGGAAUCGGAAUCCCAGGUGUAGCGGUGAAAUGCGUAGAUAUCUGGGAGAACAUCAGUGGCGAAGGCGGAUUCCUGGGCUGGUACUGACGCUGAGGUGCGAAAGCUAAGGGAGCGAACAGGAUUAGAUACCCUGGUAGUCUUAGCCGUAAACGAUGGGUACUAGGUGUUGGGGGACAUUGACCCCCUCAGUGCCGUAGCUAACGCAUUAAGUACCCCGCCUGGGGAGUACGGCCGCAAGGCUGAAACUCAAAGGAAUUGACGG